Molecule: unclassified non-coding RNA, 387 nt
Filed under: soil metagenome
Description: partial contains 5.8S ribosomal RNA, internal transcribed spacer 2, and large subunit ribosomal RNA
Rfam family: 5.8S ribosomal RNA (bases 1-122)
Source: RNAcentral
GAUGAAGAACGCAGCGAAAUGCGAUAAGUAAUGUGAAUUGCAGAAUUCAGUGAAUCAUCGAAUCUUUGAACGCACCUUGCACCCUUUGGACUGCUCCAAAGGGUAUGCUCGUUUGAGUGUCAUUGUACUCUCACACUCUCUGAUCCUUUGGAUUUGGGGAGCGGUGGACUUGGGUGCUUGCUGCUUCCUUGUGGCUCACCUGAAAUGCAUCAGUGCAUCUCUCGAUUGGACAUAGUACGGCGUGAUAAGUGUCUUCGCCGGCACCUCAUAUGAGGGUGGCCGAUCGGGAGCUCUGUGCUUUCAAACCGUCUUCGGACAACGCUGACAACUUGACCUCAAAUCGAGUAGGACUACCCGCUGAACUUAAGCAUAUCAAUAAGCGGAGGA